GCUGGGCAUGGUGGCACAUGCCUGUAAUCCCAGCAGCUCUGGGAGGCUGAGGUAGGAGAAGUUUAAGUUCAAAGCCAGCCUCAG
RNAcentral lists this small RNA (84 nucleotides) under Marmota monax (woodchuck). The record is from RNAcentral. Lineage: Eukaryota; Metazoa; Chordata; Mammalia; Rodentia; Sciuridae.